RNAcentral lists this unclassified non-coding RNA (83 nucleotides) under Alteribacillus iranensis. Lineage: Bacteria; Bacillati; Bacillota; Bacilli; Caryophanales; Bacillaceae. The record is from RNAcentral.
GAUCGCCGUAUGCGGUGAAAGCCGCCCGUAUGGUGGAGGCUCGCUGAAGGCUUGAAUAUAUAAAGAAGGCACGAGGCGAGAAU